Small nuclear RNA from Talpa occidentalis (Iberian mole), 107 nucleotides. NCBI's taxonomy places the organism in Eukaryota, Metazoa, Chordata, Mammalia, Eulipotyphla, Talpidae. The record is from RefSeq and is a predicted model, not a curated record.
GUGCUUGCUUCGGCAGCACAUAUCCUAAAAUUAGAACGAUACAGAGAAUAUUAGCAUGGCUCCUGUACAAAGAUGACCCGCAAAUCUGUGAAGCGUUCCACAUUUUA